This 86-nucleotide transfer RNA is filed under the name Chloroflexi bacterium 13_1_40CM_67_9. Its description in RNAcentral is "tRNA-Leu". It matches the Rfam family "tRNA". Rfam says of the family: Transfer RNA (tRNA) molecules are approximately 80 nucleotides in length. Their secondary structure includes four short double-helical elements and three loops (D, anti-codon, and T loops). Further hydrogen bonds mediate the characteristic L-shaped molecular structure. tRNAs have two regions of fundamental functional importance: the anti-codon, which is responsible for specific mRNA codon recognition, and the 3' end, to which the tRNAs corresponding amino acid is attached (by aminoacyl-tRNA synthetases). tRNAs cope with the degeneracy of the genetic code in two manners: having more than one tRNA (with a specific anti-codon) for a particular amino acid; and 'wobble' base-pairing, i.e. permitting non-standard base-pairing at the 3rd anti-codon position. Lineage: Bacteria; Bacillati; Chloroflexota. The record is from RNAcentral. RNAcentral also lists the same sequence under 4 other names.
GCCGGAGUGGCGAAAUCGGUUUACGCAGCUGACUUAAGAUCAGCCUGGGCGCAAGCCCUAUGAGGGUUCGAGUCCCUCCUCCGGCA